UUAGAGUGAAGAUGUUGGAAUGGCUCAAUCAAGUUAAAGCAUCCAAGUGUUUUGGCUAAACUGGCUCCUUUUAAUUUGAUUGAGCCGUGCCAAUAUCAAUCAGCUCUUC
Molecule: microRNA precursor, 109 nt
Filed under: Spinacia oleracea (spinach)
Lineage: Eukaryota; Viridiplantae; Streptophyta; Magnoliopsida; Caryophyllales; Amaranthaceae
Source: RNAcentral